This 561-nucleotide ribosomal RNA is filed under the name uncultured bacterium. RNAcentral's name for it is "partial 16S ribosomal RNA". It matches the Rfam family "Bacterial small subunit ribosomal RNA", at positions 355 to 905 of the family's 1533-position model. The record is from RNAcentral.
UGGGGAAUAUUGCACAAUGGGCGCAAGCCUGAUGCAGCCAUGCCGCGUGUGUGAAGAAGGCCUUCGGGUUGUAAAGCACUUUCAGCGAGGAGGAAGGUGGUGAGCUUAAUACGCUCAUCAAUUGACGUUACUCGCAGAAGAAGCACCGGCUAACUCCGUGCCAGCAGCCGCGGUAAUACGGAGGGUGCAAGCGUUAAUCGGAAUUACUGGGCGUAAAGCGCACGCAGGCGGUUUGUUAAGUCAGAUGUGAAAUCCCCGGGCUCAACCUGGGAACUGCAUUUGAAACUGGCAAGCUAGAGUCUCGUAGAGGGGGGUAGAAUUCCAGGUGUAGCGGUGAAAUGCGUAGAGAUCUGGAGGAAUACCGGUGGCGAAGGCGGCCCCCUGGACGAAGACUGACGCUCAGGUGCGAAAGCGUGGGGCAGCAAACAGGAUUAGAUACCCUGGUAGUCCACGCUGUAAAACGAUGUCGAUUUUGGAGGUUGUGCCCUUGAGGCGUGGCUUCCGGAGCUAACGCGUUAAAUCGACCGCCUGGGGAGUACGGCCGCAAGGUUAAAACUUAAA